UCAGAUGAACGCUGCGGCAUGCUUACACAUGCAAGUCGAACGGCGAGCGCGGGGCGAACCUGGCGGCGAGUGGCGAACGGGUGAGUAAUAUAUCGGAACGUACCCAAGAGUGGGGGAGUAACGUAGCGAAAGUUACGCUAAUACCGCAUACGAUCCAAGGAUGAAAGCAGGGGACCUUCGGGCCUUGUGCUCCUGGAGCGGCCGAUAUCUGAUUAGCUAGUUGGUGAGGUAAAGGCUCACCAAGGCCACGAUCAGUAGCUGGUCUGAGAGGACGACCAGCCACACUGGAACUGAGACACGGUCCAGACUCCUACGGGAGGCAGCAGUGGGGAAUUUUGGACAAUGGGCGCAAGCCUGAUCCAGCAAUGCCGCGUGAGUGAAGAAGGCCUUCGGGUUGUAAAGCUCUUUUGUCAGGGAAGAAACGGUGGAGGCUAAUAUCCUUCGCUAAUGAUGGUACCUGAAGAAUAAGCACCGGCUAACUACGUG
This 486-nucleotide ribosomal RNA is filed under the name uncultured Massilia sp. Its description in RNAcentral is "bacterial SSU rRNA". It matches the Rfam family "Bacterial small subunit ribosomal RNA", at positions 28 to 507 of the family's 1533-position model. The record is from RNAcentral. Lineage: Bacteria; Pseudomonadati; Pseudomonadota; Betaproteobacteria; Burkholderiales; Oxalobacteraceae.